Molecule: ribosomal RNA, 529 nt
Filed under: uncultured bacterium
Lineage: Bacteria
Description: bacterial SSU rRNA
Rfam family: Bacterial small subunit ribosomal RNA
Source: RNAcentral
ACGCGAACGACCUUUCGGGGUUAAGUAGAGUGGCGAACGGGUUAGUAACGCGUGGGAACAUACACAGCACAGGGGGAUAACCAUUGGAAACGAUGGCUAAUACCGCAUACGCCCUAUUGGGGAAAGAUUUAUCGGUGUUGGAUUGGCCCGCGUUAGAUUAGCUAGUUGGUGGGGUAAUGGCUCACCAAGGCGACGAUUUAUAGCUGGUUUGAGAGGAUGAUCAGCAACACUGGAACUGAGACACGGUCCAGACUCCUACGGGAGGCAGCAGUCGGGAAUAUUGUGCAAUGGGGGCAACCCUGACACAGCCAUGCCGCGUGAGUGAAGAAGGCCUUAGGGUUGUAAAGCUCUUUCAGAUGUGAGGAUGAUGACGAUAGCAUCAGAAGAAGCUCCGGCUAACUUCGUGCCAGCAGCCGCGGUAAUACGAAGGGAGCUAGCGUUGUUCGGAAUUACUGGGCGUAAAGGGCGUGUAGGCGGAUUAUCAAGUUAGGGGUGAAAUCCCGGGGCUCAACCUCGGCACUGCCUUUAA